ACAUAGUGGAACAUGUGUCGUU
This 22-nucleotide unclassified non-coding RNA is filed under the name Mus musculus (house mouse). Its description in RNAcentral is "oocyte_clustered_small_RNA11683". Lineage: Eukaryota; Metazoa; Chordata; Mammalia; Rodentia; Muridae. The record is from RNAcentral.